Molecule: non-coding RNA, 846 nt
Filed under: Doratonotus megalepis
Lineage: Eukaryota; Metazoa; Chordata; Actinopteri; Labriformes; Labridae
Description: partial small subunit ribosomal RNA
Rfam family: Bacterial small subunit ribosomal RNA
Source: RNAcentral
CAAAGGCUUGGUCCUGACUUUGUUGUCAGCUCUAACUAGACUUACACAUGCAAGUAUCCGCACCCCUGUGAGGAUGCCCUACGCCUCCUUUCUGGAGGCAAGGAGCCGGUAUCAGGCACGAACACUUCAGCCCACGACGCCUUGCUUAGCCACACCCCCAAGGGAUUUCAGCAGUGAUAAAUAUUAAGCCAUGAGCGAAAGCUUGACUUAGUUACUGUUAAGAGGGCCGGUAAAUCUCGUGCCAGCCACCGCGGUUAUACGAGAGACCCAAGUUGACAGCCUUCGGCGUAAAGAGUGGUUAAGACGAGAUUUUGGACUAAAGCUGAACGACCUCAGAGCUGUCAUACGCGCAUGAACGUACGAAACACACCUACGAAAGUGGCUUUACCCUUUUCUGACCCCACGAAAGCUAAGACACAAACUGGGAUUAGAUACCCCACUAUGCUUAGCCGUAAACAUUGAUAAUAACCUACAUAUAUUAUCCGCCUGGGAACUACGAGCACUAGCUUAAAACCCAAAGGACUUGGCGGUGCUUUAGAUCCACCUAGAGGAGCCUGUUCUAGAACCGAUAAUCCCCGUUUAACCUCACCUCUUCUUGUUCCUUUCCGCCUAUAUACCGCCGUCGUCAGCUUACCCUGUGAAGAACCAACAGUAAGCGAAAUUGGCACAGCCCAAAACGCCAGGUCGAGGUGUAGCGAAUGAAGAGGGAAGAAAUGGGCUACAUUCAAUAACCCAUAAUGAAUACGGAUAGCACCCUGAAAGGAGUGCUUGAAGGAGGAUUUAGCAGUAAGUGGAGAAUAGAGUGCCCCACUGAAAUUGGCCCUGAAGCGCGUACACACCGCCCGU